RNAcentral lists this long non-coding RNA (1183 nucleotides) under Macaca fascicularis (crab-eating macaque). RNAcentral's name for it is "lncRNA (ENSMFAG00000061196.1)". Lineage: Eukaryota; Metazoa; Chordata; Mammalia; Primates; Cercopithecidae. The record is from RNAcentral.
UUUUUUUUUUUUUGGUCUGUAAAAUUGUACUUUUAAUUUUUACUUUCUUUUGUUGUUCUGGGACUACUUAGAGAAGUUUUUCUUAAUUUCCAAUUUUCUCAUUUUAAAACCCAAUUUGUUAUUUUUUAGGGGGUUAGAGUGAGUCAUCUUUCAAUCAUUAGUUUUCAAGUAUUUAAUAAAUAUUGUUAAUUUAACCAACUGUUUCAUUCUAAGCAUUUUAGAUUUCCUUAAUUAAUUAAUUAAUUAAUUUUAUUGCUAGUGGUACAAUCACGGCUCAUUGCAGCUUCUACCUCCUGGGCUCAAGCAAUUCUCCCAUCUCAGCCUCCUGAGGAGCUGGGACUACAGUCACACAGCACCAUGUCCAGUUAAUUUUUUCCCUUUUUGUAGAGACAGAGUCUUGCUAUGUUGUCCAGGCUGGUCUUAAACUCCUGGCCUUAAGUAAUCCUCCUGUCUCAGUCUCCCAAAGUAUAGAAUUUUUAAGGUUUUCUUUGUGGACAAGUUUGCAUUAACUUUUGCAAAUGUUUCAUUGGUGAAAAGAAUGUAUAUUAUCACAUUCAUAUGUUAUAAUGUUCCAUAUUACCAAGCCUGUCAAUGGUAUUAUUUAAAUAUCCCAUAUCUUUUCCUUUUUAUGUAUCUUUUUUUAAGAGACAGAGUCUCACUCUGUUACCUAGGCUGGAAGAGUGCAGUAGUGCAAUCAUAGCUCACUGGUGGCUCAAACUCCUGGCCUCUUGCCUGGGACUCCCAAAGCACUGGGAUUAUAGUUAUGAGUUUUUCAUCGUGUUUGUGUGUGUGUGCGUGUGUGUGUGUAUAAAAAGACCUCACUGUGGUUUUGUGCAUGUGUGUGGUCUUUGCAUUUUAGGAAUUCUGCUUCGUACGGUUGGCUCCUUCUUUAUACAGUGCAUGAAAGUUUAUGAUUGUUAUAUCUUCUUCACAAAUUGUACUUUCUAUCAUUACAUAAUGUUUCUCUUUUUUUCUGUUUCUCCUUUUGGAAUUAAAUUCCAUCUUGUCAAAUAUCAAUAUUGUCAUCACUUUUGAUUUUCUUUUCUUUGAAUUUGCCUACGUAUCUUGACAUGUCAUUUCAUUUUCAACAUAACUUUUGUCACUUUGUUUGGAAGACUUUCCCAAAAUAACAGAUGAAUUUUUAAACAUGAUUUUAUUUUACCGUUGUUUUCCCUUUUCUUAA